UCUCUUGUUAGAUUAGGUCGUCGUCAAUUAUGUGAUUUACAGUUUGAUGACGGUGAUAGUGAUGAUAAUGUGCAUUCACAAAUCUUAAUGAAACUUUUAAUACAGUUAGCUUGCAUGGAGACCUAGAUUGGGAUUGUAUUUGGGGCCAGGAGGUCAAGGUUCCUGUUACUAAAAAUAGAAAACCUGUUUCUGCUGAAUAAGUUGAUUGAAUCUUGAUUUUUAACCAGGUUUUCCGAAGGAAAAAACUGGUUAUUAGAUUGGCGAAUGCGGGCGGGCUGGCUGGCUGGCUGGCGGGCUGGCUGGCUGGCGGGCUGGCGGAAUAAGCUUGUCCGGGCCAUAACUAUGUCGUUCAUUGUCAGAUUUUAAAAUCAUUUGGCACAUUUGUUCACCAUCAUUGGACGGUGUGUCGCGCGAAAUAAUUACGUCGCUAUCUCCAAGGUCAAGGUCACACUUUGAGUUCAAAGGUCAAAAAUGGCCAUAAAUGAGCUUGUCCUGGCCAUAACUAUGUCAUUCAUUGUGAGAUUUUAAAAUCAUUUGGCACAUUUGUUCACCAUCAUGGGACGGUGUGUCCCACGAAAGAAUCACGUCAAUAUCUCCAAUGUCAAGGUCGCCACGACUAAAAAUAGAUUUAAAAAAAAAAAAAAAUUACAAAGGGGGUUAAUUUUUUUUGGUCAUUUCAAAAGUU
Molecule: long non-coding RNA, 685 nt
Organism: Dreissena polymorpha
Lineage: Eukaryota; Metazoa; Mollusca; Bivalvia; Myida; Dreissenidae
Exons: 2
Source: RefSeq, a predicted model, not a curated record